GUGAAUCAUCAAAUCUUUGAACGCAAAUUGCGCUUCCUGGCAUCCCGGGAAGUAUGCCUGUUUGAGGGUCAGUAUUAAUAAGAACUCGGUUUAGUUACAAUUUGUGCCGUUUUCGGAGUUUGGGCUAUCUUAACAUUUUUGGCCUAGAGGUUUCAAAUUGAUCUUUUUCGCGCAUUCUUAACCGUACACAAAUUUUUUUUAUUCGUCUAUUCUUAAUGCCAAAAUCUUAUUAGAUGCGAUCACAUCGUGUGGUUUUGUGUCCAUAAAUUUUUCAUGAUUUG
This 281-nucleotide unclassified non-coding RNA is filed under the name Glomeraceae sp. RNAcentral's name for it is "partial contains 5.8S ribosomal RNA and internal transcribed spacer 2". The stretch from base 1 to 71 matches the Rfam family "5.8S ribosomal RNA", at positions 84 to 154 of the family's 154-position model. Lineage: Eukaryota; Fungi; Glomeromycota; Glomeromycetes; Glomerales; Glomeraceae. The record is from RNAcentral.